AUCACAACUGCUGGCUGAAUCACGCAUUCUGGAAUUAAGGCAUAUUCAUGAGAUUAUCAGCUUAAGAAAGGGGACACCUCCGUUUUGAGGGCUGGGUUCGGGAAGAAGUUUCAAACUGCUCAUACCUCAAUGACAAAAGAUAGAAUGCUCAAAAUACCGGCAAAGGCAUUACUUCUAGUCGUUUACAAUGGAACCAACUCCCCCACAGGUCUGGCCACUGUCAUCCGAACAUUGGGUUGGUCAUCCGAAGAGGUCGUGGUGGACACGAACAAUCAGUUUCAGGUCGACAAAAUAGCUCAUCCAAUUAAGUGGAGACUGGGAUUGAUAAUCUGGUUUUCAAGGGACUUAUGAGCCACUAACAGAACAGCACCACUGUCUUAGGGACAAGAAAAAUUGGACAAUGAGAAGCUUACGUGUAGGUUGGCGGCGCAAGUAGAUCAAACUUGAAAACUUAUUACCAAAGUACGUAGAAUAUUCGCUCCUACUCGCGCAAAAUAGAAGGAUAACAAACGACAAGAAGCAACCAUUACAAACCGGAAUCACUAUACGAAAGCAAGAAGACACCAAAAUAUUUGGUCACAAGAAUGAUGAGGUACCUUUACAAUAAUCGUUGAAAGAAAACUGUUUCGCCCUUCCAUUUUAGAAAAGGGGUGAAUUUUAAGUUUCAUUCCUUGAGAUUGACUGUUUCAAAUCCAGUUCUUCCCUUUUUGGUUUUGCCUCUUUCAGACAGAAGAAGAUAUAAAUAGACAACCUUGACUAUUUUGAACUACGUUUGGCGCAACAUGGAAGAAUUACUUACUUUGAUCAAGCCAGUUUCAAACCACUUGAAAAAGAAACCAUACGAAGCCUAGAUCUAUACAGAAAAAGAAAGUCAUCUCUUCCCCAAUGGGAGUCCUAACCCUCAUCCUCUCCUGGCGAAAAAAUUCAUAAAUUUUUCCAUUUACAUCAGCUUGAAAUUUUUGGAGAGGGAGAUAGCCCUUUUGGUCAGCGGUCUUUGUCUUGGCCUUACCUCCGGUGACAAUGAGCCUCGCUCAAAAUUGCCAGUUCUUUACCGAGUAGACCAGGCUUCAUCAAAUGUGGUGGUUUACCGUGGAGCUCAAGUAGACCAAGCCCGUGCUGCUGGACUCCUCCCGUCCAAGGGAUACAGCAAACCUACCCCUGAACCAUCUUAUCCCCCUCCCCCCAAAUACCCGCAACCCUCUUAUCCUGAAC
Tigriopus californicus is the source of this 1212-nucleotide long non-coding RNA. RefSeq lists it as uncharacterized. NCBI's taxonomy places the organism in Eukaryota, Metazoa, Arthropoda, Copepoda, Harpacticoida, Harpacticidae. The transcript is spliced from 3 exons. The record is from RefSeq and is a predicted model, not a curated record.